AACGAACGCUGGCGGCGCGCCUAAUACAUGCAAGUCGAACGAGAAGGUGUAGCAAUACACUUGUACAGUGGCGAACGGGUGAGGAAUGCAUGGGCGAACCUACCCUCGAGUGGGGAAUAACCAGCCGAAAGGUUGGCUAAUACCGCGUACGCUUCCGGGUCUCCGGAUCCGGAAGGAAAGUCACACCGUGGGUGUGACGCUCAAGGAUGGGCUCAUGUCCUAUCAGCUUGUUGGUGAGGUAACGGCUCACCAAGGCAACGACGGGUAGCUGGUCUGAGAGGACGAUCAGCCACACUGGCACUGCGACACGGGCCAGACUCCUACGGGAGGCAGCAGUAAGGAUAUUGCGCAAUGGGCGAAAGCCUGACGCAGCGACGCCGCGUGGGGGGUGAAGGUC
This 397-nucleotide ribosomal RNA is filed under the name uncultured bacterium. RNAcentral's name for it is "bacterial SSU rRNA". It matches the Rfam family "Bacterial small subunit ribosomal RNA", at positions 29 to 416 of the family's 1533-position model. The record is from RNAcentral.